GAUGAACGCUGGCGGCGUGCCUAACACAUGCAAGUCGAGCGCGUCUGAUUUGAUGCUUGCAUUAAUGAAAGAUGAGCGGCGGACGGGUGAGUAACGCGUGGGUAACCUGCCCUAUACACAUGGAUAACAUACUGAAAAGUUUACUAAUACAUGAUAAUAUAUAUUUACGGCAUCGUAGAUAUAUCAAAGUGUUAGCGGUAUAGGAUGGACCCGCGUCUGAUUAGCUAGUUGGUGAGAUAACUGCCCACCAAGGCGACGAUCAGUAGCCGACCUGAGAGGGUGAUCGGCCACAUUGGAACUGAGACACGGUCCAAACUCCUACGGGAGGCAGCAGUGGGGAAUAUUGCACAAUGGGCGCAAGCCUGAUGCAGCAACGCCGCGUGAACGAUGAAGGUCUUCGGAUCGUAAAGUUCUGUUGCAGGGGAAGAUAAUAACGUACCCUGGAGGAGCCCC
Molecule: ribosomal RNA, 453 nt
Filed under: Peptostreptococcus anaerobius
Lineage: Bacteria; Bacillati; Bacillota; Clostridia; Peptostreptococcales; Peptostreptococcaceae
Description: bacterial SSU rRNA
Rfam family: Bacterial small subunit ribosomal RNA
Source: RNAcentral